Molecule: ribosomal RNA, 519 nt
Filed under: uncultured bacterium
Lineage: Bacteria
Description: bacterial SSU rRNA
Rfam family: Bacterial small subunit ribosomal RNA
Source: RNAcentral
AGAGUUGAUUCUGGCUCAGGAUGAACGCUAGCGACAGGCUAACACAUGCAAGUCGAGGGCGAGCACGGGAGUAGCAAUACAACUGGUGGCGACCGGCGCACGGGUGAGUAACGCGUAUGCAACCUACCUAUCAGAGGGGAAUAACCCGGCGAAAGUCGGACUAAUACCGCAUAAAACAGGGGCACCGCAUGGUGAUAUUUGUUAAAGAAAUUCGCUGAUAGAUGGGCAUGCGUUCCAUUAGGUAGUUGGUGAGGUAACGGCUCACCAAGCCGACGAUGGAUAGGGGAACUGAGAGGUUGGUCCCCCACACUGGUACUGAGACACGGACCAGACUCCUACGGGAGGCAGCAGUGAGGAAUAUUGGUCAAUGGGCGGGAGCCUGAACCAGCCAAGUCGCGUGGAAAAGGAAGAAGGAUCUAUGGUUCGUAAACUUCUUUGCAGGGGAAUAAAGUGCAGGACGUGUCCUGUUUUGUAUGUACCCUGAGAAUAAGGAUCGGCUAACUCCGUGCCAGCAGCAGC